GAAUAUUGGUCAAUGGGCGCAGGCCUGAACCAGCCAAGUAGCGUGAAGGAUGACUGCCCUAUGGGUUGUAAACUUCUUUUAUAAGGGAAUAAAGUCACCCACGUGUGGGUGUUUGUAUGUACCUUAUGAAUAAGCAUCGGCUAACUCCGUGCCAGCAGCCGCGGUAAUACGGAGGAUGCGAGCGUUAUCCGGAUUUAUUGGGUUUAAAGGGAGCGUAGACGGGCCGUUAAGUCAGCUGUGAAAGUUUGAGGCUCAACCUUAAAAUUGCAGUUGAUACUGGCGUCCUUGAGUACGGUUGAGGCAGGCGGAAUUCGUGGUGUAGCGGUGAAAUGCUUAGAUAUCACGAAGAACCCCGAUUGCGAAGGCAGCCUGCUAAACCGCCACUGACGUUGAGGCUCGAAAGUGUGGGUAUCAAACAGGAUUAGAUACCCUGGUAGUCCACACGGUAAACGAUGGAUACUCGCUGUUGGCGAUAGACUGUCAGCGGCUUAGCGAAAGCGUUAAGUAUCCCACCUGGGGAGUACGCCGGCAACGGUGAAACUCAAAGGAAUUGACGGGGGCCCGCACAAGCGGAGGAACAUGUGGUUUAAUUCGAUGAUACGCGAGGAACCUUACCCGGGCUUGAAUUGCAGACGAAUUGCUUGGAAACAGGCAAGCCGCAAGGCGUCUGUGAAGGUGCUGCAUGGUUGUCGUCAGCUCGUGCCGUGAGGUGUCGGCUUAAGUGCCAUAACGAGCGCAACCCUCGUGUCCAGUUACUAGCAGGCAAGCUGAGGACUCUGGACAGACUGCCAUCGUAAGAUGUGAGGAAGGUGGGGAUGACGUCAAAUCAGCACGGCCCUUACGUCCGGGGCUACACACGUGUUACAAUGGGGGGUACAGCAGGCAGCUACCGGGCGACCGGAUGCCAAUCCCGAAAGCCUCUCUCAGUUCGGACUGGAGUCUGCAACCCGACUCCACGAAGCUGGAUUCGCUAGUAAUCGCGCAUCAGCCACGGCGCGGUGAAUACGUUCCCG
Molecule: ribosomal RNA, 1013 nt
Filed under: uncultured bacterium
Lineage: Bacteria
Description: bacterial SSU rRNA
Rfam family: Bacterial small subunit ribosomal RNA
Source: RNAcentral